UGCGAACCUAAGAGCUUGUGCAAUAAUCAAUAUCUAUUCACUGUAAUGAGAAAAAACUAUUGAUUGAAUAUACGUACUUCAUUAGACAGGGAUUUUUGAUUUUAAAAAAAAAAUCAAAUGGAAAAAUGAGCUAAAACAUGAAAUUUCAUAGGCAUAUGUGAUGUUUGAGAAAUUCUUGUGUUUCUUAUAAUGCCUAGUUCAUACAAUGAAGGGAUCACAAGGAAUCCUUGAGCUGCCGUAAUUCACCAUAAAAUCUAUAUGAAGCAAUAGAAGGAACACUUGAAGCAAGUAAAAAAGAAUAGAGAAAGGCAAGAGAUAAAAAGCAAAAUCUAGUUAAAACUAAGAAAUAAUAUGCGUAUAUAACUGAAAAAGGUGGGAG
Molecule: long non-coding RNA, 379 nt
Filed under: Elaeis guineensis (African oil palm)
Lineage: Eukaryota; Viridiplantae; Streptophyta; Magnoliopsida; Arecales; Arecaceae
Description: long non-coding RNA (EGUI_LNC048259)
Source: RNAcentral